RNAcentral lists this unclassified non-coding RNA (547 nucleotides) under Bombus terrestris (buff-tailed bumblebee). RNAcentral describes it as "misc RNA ENSBTSG00005030666.1". The record is from RNAcentral. Lineage: Eukaryota; Metazoa; Arthropoda; Insecta; Hymenoptera; Apidae.
UAUCGGGCGAACGAGAAUAGCGACGCACGUACUUGGUAAUUCGAGAGGAAGCGGGGUCGACAUCCUGUUUUAAUAUAUUUCCGGAAGGUUACUGCUAUCGAAUCGCACGAGUUUGUGGUUUCGACGCUUCGUUGCUUUUGCAUCCUUCACCACUGCCACCAUUGAUGUCAUCGUCGCCAUCCCCUUCCUUUGUUUUUCUCCAUUGCCUUGUUAGACUCAAAAAGUUCGUAAACAUCGAUCGGUCCAAUCGUUUAUAUUUAUACCCUUUGAUCCGAAUUACUUUCUUUCUACUCUUUCGUAUCGCUAAUACUUUUAUUACAAAAUCAACGCUACGUUAAAGAGCUAUUUUCGCUUUCCAAGAGACGCUUACAGAGCGAAUAAAACAAACGAAAGAAAAUUGGUCGACCAUCCAAGGACCCCUUACCAGGGAGAAAAUUAUUGUGUUUCGCGAGAAUAAAAGUUCAGCGGCUUGGCGUACGAAACAAUUUCCCGACGUAAAAAGUUCAAAUAUCUGCGUAUGACUGGAACGGCGCGACGCGUAACUCGU